This is a long non-coding RNA of Oryctolagus cuniculus (rabbit), 1808 nucleotides long. NCBI's taxonomy places the organism in Eukaryota, Metazoa, Chordata, Mammalia, Lagomorpha, Leporidae. The record is from Ensembl.
GGUGGGUGCUGCCGGUGCAUCGCGCUGAUCCGAGCCAGGAUCCAGGUGCUUCUCCUGGUCUCCCAUGCAGGUGCAGGGCCCAAGCACUUGGGCCAUCCUCCCCUGCCUUCCUGGGCCACAGCAGAGAGCUGGCCUGGAAGAGGGGCAACCGGGACAGAAUCCGGCGCCCUGACCGGGACUAGAACUGGGGUGCCGGCGCCACUAGGCGGAGGAUUAGCCUGGUGAGCCGCGGUGCCAGCCCCUCCCUUUCUUCUUAAUCUUCUCCGCGGUAUUCUUGCACUUCCUCUUCACGGUGAAUGUAGAAUCCAUUCGUCAAGGUCCCUAACCCUGUGCGGAGACUUUGGUGGGUGCUGCACUGUGUGUGGGUUAGAAUGGGGGAAGGUGGCCGCACAAGGGCAGGCUCCCGGUGUGGGGAGGCAGCGGGGUCCUCCGCUGGGGUGGCGUGGGGGCGACCUGCAGGGGGCGGCACCUCACAAGGUCCUGCAGCUCACUGGGCUCUCUUGCCCGCAGCUGGGAUUCAGACCUGGGACACUCCUGAUCCAGGCCUGGCAGGGGCCGGCCCCUUCCAGGGGAGCUUUGAGAAGCGGGUCUGACCCACCACCUGAACGUGCCAGUCAGCAAGGUCCGGGGCCUGGUCAGUUGCCUGGGCAGCUACUGCUGAGGACACAGGAACACGGCCUCUCCCCCACCCCGCAGGAGCUCCUCACAUCCAAUUCACCAGGAAGCCCUGAGGACACGGACCGGGAUCCAGAGCCGAAAUCCAAUUAAGCGGGACUGGGGCUGUGGCUGCCUCUCUGUCCACUUCCUGGUUCAGCAACAGGAUGGGGGAAGGAAGUAAGAAGGGAAGGAGAGAGAAGGAGGACAAGAGAGCGAGAGCGAGAGCGAGAUCUUCCGUUCACGGAUUUAUUCUCCAAAGGCCUGAAGCACCUGAGACUGACCGGGUCAAAACCAGGGCUCCAGCACAGGUGGCAGGGACCCGAGGACUUGGGCCACCAUUUGCUAAGGUAGAUUGUAAACGUUUGCUUGUUUUCAUUUUAUUUGAAAGGCAAAGAGACUGAGACAGAGAGAGAACUUCCAUCCGCUGCUUCACUCUCCAAAUGCCUGCAACAACUGGGGCGGCUAAGCUGAAGCCAGGAGCCAGAAACUCAGCCUGGGGCUCCUGUGUGGGAGUACCCGAGUACCUGAGCACUCCCACGUGGGAUCACCCGAGUACCCGAGUACUCCCACGUGGGAGUGCCUGAUGCCCGAGUACUCCCAUGUGGGACUGCCUGAGUACCCGAGUACUCCCACGUGGGCGUGCCUGAUGCCCGAGCACUCCCAUGUGGGAGUGCCUGAGUACCCGAGUACCCCCAUGUGGGAUCACCCGAGUACCCGAGUACCCCCAUGUGGGAUCACCCAAGUACCUAAGUACUCCCAUGUGGGAGUGCCUGAUGCCUGAGUACUCCCAUGUGGGAGUGCCUGAGUAUGGCUCAGGUACUUGAGCCAUCACCUGCUACUUCCCAAGGUGCUCAUUAGCCGGAAGCUGGAAUUGGAAGUGGAGCUGGCACUCGUGCCCAGGAACUCCGAUCCGGCAUGUGGGUGCCCCAAGUGGCGUCCUGGCCUCUGUGCUAAACGCCUUCUCUGAGCGCUUGCAGAUGAGGGGGAUCACGGGCAGGGGCUCGCCAGGGGAGCGGAAGUGCUGAACAAGUGCCGGUUGCUGCAGGAGCGCCCGCUCUUUCAGCUGCAGGGCGACUUGAGGACACAGCAACAUCUCUGAGCCUCAGGUUAUCCACCUACAGAAUGGGUAGAAUAGUUCCUAAUUUUGUUCC